This 390-nucleotide ribosomal RNA is filed under the name uncultured bacterium. RNAcentral describes it as "bacterial SSU rRNA". It matches the Rfam family "Bacterial small subunit ribosomal RNA", at positions 30 to 419 of the family's 1533-position model. The record is from RNAcentral.
AUUGAACGCUGGCGGCAUGCCUUACACAUGCAAGUCGAACGGCAGCACGGGAGCAAUCCUGGUGGCGAGUGGCGAACGGGUGAGUAAUAUAUCGGAACGUGCCCAGUCGUGGGGGAUAACGUAGCGAAAGCUACGCUAAUACCGCAUACGAUCUAUGGAUGAAAGCGGGGGAUCGCAAGACCUCGCGCGAUUGGAGCGGCCGAUAUCAGAUUAGGUAGUUGGUGGGGUAAAAGCCUACCAAGCCUUCGAUCUGUAGCUGGUCUGAGAGGACGACCAGCCACACUGGAACUGAGACACGGUCCAGACUCCUACGGGAGGCAGCAGUGGGGGAAUUUUGGACAAUGGGCGCAAGCCUGAUCCAGCAAUGCCGCGUGCAGGAUGAAGGCCUUC